Molecule: ribosomal RNA, 307 nt
Filed under: uncultured eukaryote
Lineage: Eukaryota
Description: partial 18S ribosomal RNA
Rfam family: Eukaryotic small subunit ribosomal RNA
Source: RNAcentral
CCCUUAGACGUCCUGGGCCGCACGCGCGCUACACUGACACAGGCAACGAGCUUUCCUUUACCGAAAGGUAUGGGUAAUCUUUUGAAACUGUGUCGUGCUGGGGAUAGAUCCUUGCAAUUUUUGAUCUUAAACGAGGAAUUCCUAGUAAGCGCGAGUCAUCAACUCGCGUUGAUUACGUCCCUGCCCUUUGUACACACCGCCCGUCGCUACUACCGAUUGAAUGGCUUAGUGAGGCCUCAGGAUCCGCGCUUAAUGUGUGGAGAAUUUGGACAAACUACGUCAUUUAGAGGAAGUAAAAGUCGUAACA